This 454-nucleotide ribosomal RNA is filed under the name uncultured bacterium. Its description in RNAcentral is "partial 16S ribosomal RNA". It matches the Rfam family "Bacterial small subunit ribosomal RNA", at positions 28 to 507 of the family's 1533-position model. The record is from RNAcentral.
GAUGAACGCUGACAGAAUGCUUAACACAUGCAAGUCUACUUGAACUUCGGUUUGGGUGGCGGACGGGUGAGUAACGCGUAAAGAACUUGCCUCACAGAUAGGGACAACAUUUGGAAACGAAUGCUAAUACCUGAUAUUAUGAUUUUAGGGCAUCCUAGGAUUAUGAAAGCUAUAUGCACUGUGAGAGAGCUUUGCGUCCCAUUAGCUAGUUGGAGAGGUAACGGCUCACCAAGGCGAUGAUGGGUAGCCGGCCUGAGAGGGUGAUCGGCCACAAGGGGACUGAGACACGGCCCUUACUCCUACGGGAGGCAGCAGUGGGGAAUAUUGGACAAUGGACCAAGAGUCUGAUCCAGCAAUUCUGUGUGCACGAUGAAGUUUUUCGGAAUGUAAAGUGCUUUCAGUUGGGAAGAAAAAAAUGACGGUACCAACAGAAGAAGUGACGGCUAAAUACGUG